Molecule: ribosomal RNA, 461 nt
Filed under: uncultured bacterium
Lineage: Bacteria
Description: bacterial SSU rRNA
Rfam family: Bacterial small subunit ribosomal RNA
Source: RNAcentral
GAUGAACGCUGGCGGCAGGCCUAAAACAUGCAAGUCGAACGGAUCCUUCGGGAUUAGUGGCGGACGGGUGAGUAACACGUGGGAACGUGCCUUUAGGUUCGGAACAACUCAGGGAAACUUGAGCUAAUACCGAAUGUGCCCUUCGGGGGAAAGGAUUUAUCGCCUUUAGAGCGGCCCGCGUCUGAUUAGCUUGUUGGUGAGGUAAAGGCUCACCAAGGCGACGAUCAGUAGCUGGUCUGAGAGGAUGAUCAGCCACACUGGGACUGAGACACGGCCCAGACUCCUACGGGAGGCAGCAGUUAGGAAUCUUGCGCAAUGGGGGAAACCCUGACGCAGCCAUGCCGCGUGAAUGAUGAAGGUCUUAGGAUUGUAAAAUUCUUUCAGCGGGGACGAUAAUGACGGUACCCGCAGAAGAAGCCCCGGCUAACUUCGUGCCAGCAGCCGCGGUAAUGUAGAUAAGU